This 464-nucleotide ribosomal RNA is filed under the name uncultured bacterium. RNAcentral's name for it is "partial 16S ribosomal RNA". It matches the Rfam family "Bacterial small subunit ribosomal RNA", at positions 29 to 507 of the family's 1533-position model. The record is from RNAcentral.
ACGAACGCUGGCGGCGUGCUUCACACCUGCCAGUCGCACGGAAAGGCCCUGCUUGCAGGGUCCUCGAGUGGCGAACGGGUGAGUAACACGUGGGUGAUCUGCCCUGCACUUCGGGAUAAGCCUGGGAAACUGGGUCUAAUACCGGAUAGGAGCCAUUUUUAGUGUGAUGGUUGAAAAGUUUUUUCGGUGUAGGAUGAGCUCGCGGCCUAUCAGCUUGUUGGUGGGGUAAUGGCCUACCAAGGCGGCGACGGGUAGCCGGCCUGAGAGGGUGGACGGCCACAUUGGGACUGAGAUACGGCCCAGACUCCUACGGGAGGCAGCAGUGGGGAAUAUUGCACAAUGGGCGCAAGCCUGAUGCAGCGACGCCGCGUGGGGGAUGACGGCCUUCGGGUUGUAAACUCCUUUCGCUAGGGACGAAGCUUUUUGUGACGGUACCUAGAUAAGAAGCACCGGCUAACUACGUG